This 26-nucleotide non-coding RNA is filed under the name Mus musculus (house mouse). The record is from RNAcentral. Lineage: Eukaryota; Metazoa; Chordata; Mammalia; Rodentia; Muridae.
UUCCCUACAAAUUGAGUAGCGUGCCC